RNAcentral lists this ribosomal RNA (253 nucleotides) under uncultured bacterium. Its description in RNAcentral is "partial 16S ribosomal RNA". It matches the Rfam family "Bacterial small subunit ribosomal RNA", at positions 524 to 776 of the family's 1533-position model. The record is from RNAcentral.
UACGUAGGGACCGAGCGUUGUCCGGAUUCAUUGGGCGUAAAGAGCUCGUAGGCGGCUGCUCAAGUCGAAUGUGAAACCUCGAGGCUUAACCUCGAGCCUGCAUUCGAUACUGGGCGGCUAGAGUCUGGUAGGGGGAUCUGGAAUUCCUGGUGUAGCGGUGGAAUGCGCAGAUAUCAGGAGGAACACCAGUGGCGAAGGCGGCUCACUGGCCCGAUACUGACGCUGAGGCACGAAAGCGUGGGGAGCAAACAGG